ACUCCUACGGGAGGCAGCAGUAGGGAAUUUUCGGCAAUGGGGGGAACCCUGACCGAGCAACGCCGCGUGAGUGAAGAAGGUUUUCGGAUUGUAAAGCUCUGUUGCAAGGGAAGAACGGCACAUAGAGGAUAUGUGAGUGACGGUACCUUGCGAGGAAGCCACGGCUAACUACGUGCCAGCAGCCGCGGUAAUA
Molecule: ribosomal RNA, 193 nt
Filed under: uncultured bacterium
Lineage: Bacteria
Description: partial 16S ribosomal RNA
Rfam family: Bacterial small subunit ribosomal RNA
Source: RNAcentral